Molecule: ribosomal RNA, 191 nt
Filed under: uncultured bacterium
Lineage: Bacteria
Description: partial 16S ribosomal RNA
Rfam family: Bacterial small subunit ribosomal RNA
Source: RNAcentral
ACUCCUACGGGAGGCAGCAGUAAGGAAUAUUGGACAAUGGUGGCAACACUGAUCCAGCCAUGCCGCGUGCAGGAUGACGGCCCUAUGGGUUGUAAACUGCUUUUGUACGGGAAAAACCCUCGUUCGUGAACGAGGCUGAUGGUACCGUAAGAAUAAGGAUCGGCUAACUCCGUGCCAGCAGCCGCGGUAAU